Molecule: unclassified non-coding RNA, 425 nt
Filed under: uncultured Amphinema
Lineage: Eukaryota; Fungi; Basidiomycota; Agaricomycetes; Atheliales; Atheliaceae
Description: sequence contains ITS2
Rfam family: 5.8S ribosomal RNA (bases 33-187)
Source: RNAcentral
AACUUUUGGCAAUGGAUCACUCCACCCUCUAUAACUUUCGACAACGGAUCUCUUGGCUCUCGCAUCGAUGAAGAACGCAGCGAAAUGCGAUAAGUAAUGUGAAUUGCAGAUUUUCAGUGAAUCAUCGAAUCUUUGAACGCACCUUGCGCUCCUUGGUAUUCCGAGGAGCAUGCCUGUUUGAGUGUCAUUAAAUCCUCAACCCCACCGAUUUGCUUCGGGGGGAUUGGACUUGGAGCGUGCUGGCGAAGGUCGGCUCCUCUUUAAAUGCAUCAGUGGAGAGAAACUUGCCCCAGUGUGAUAAUCCUGUUGCGCUGUGGUGGGCGAAAGUCUGCUUCCAACCGUCCUUUGCGGGACAGACAUCUCAAUUUGACCUCAAAUCAGGUAGGACUACCCGCUGAACUUAAGCAUAUCAAUAAGCGGAGGCU